GUCGAACGGAACUGUUUUGAAAGAUUUCUUCGGAAUGAAUUUGAUUUAGCUUAGUGGCGGACGGGUGAGUAACGCGUGAGUAACCUGCCUUCAAGAGGGGGAUAACAUUCUGAAAAGAAUGCUAAUACCGCAUGACAUAUCGGAACCACAUGGUUCUGAUAUCAAAGAUUUUAUCGCUUGAAGAUGGACUCGCGUCCGAUUAGUUAGUUGGUGAGGUAACGGCUCACCAAGACCGCGAUCGGUAGCCGGACUGAGAGGUUGAACGGCCACAUUGGGACUGAGACACGGCCCAGACUCCUACGGGAGGCAGCAGUGGGGGAUAUUGCGCAAUGGGGGCAACCCUGACGCAGCAACGCCGCGUGAAGGAUGAAGGUUUUCGGAUUGUAAACUUCUUUUAUUAAGGACGAAAAUUGACGGUACUUAAUGAAUAAGCUCCGGCUAACUACGUGCCAGCAGCCGCGGUAAUACGUAGGGAGCAAGCGUUGUCCGGAUUUACUGGGUGUAAAGGGUGCGUAGGCGGCUUUGCAAGUCAGAUGUGAAAUCUAUGGGCUCAACCCAUAAACUGCAUUUGAAACUGUAGAGCUUGAGUGAAGUAGAGGCAGGCGGAAUUCCUGGUGUAGCGGUGAAAUGCGUAGAGAUGGGGAGGAACACCAGUGGCGAAGGCGGCCUGCUGGGCUUUAACUGACGCUGAGGCACGAAAGCGUGGGUAGCAAACAGGAUUAGAUACCCUGGUAGUCCACGCUGUAAACGAUGAUUACUAGGUGUGGGGGGUCUGACCCCUUCCGUGCCGG
RNAcentral lists this ribosomal RNA (791 nucleotides) under uncultured bacterium. RNAcentral's name for it is "bacterial SSU rRNA". It matches the Rfam family "Bacterial small subunit ribosomal RNA", at positions 61 to 849 of the family's 1533-position model. The record is from RNAcentral.